UGUCGUUGUAGUAUAGUGGUAAGUAUUCCCGCCUGUCACCUGGGUGACCCGGGUUCGAUCACUGGCAACGGCGA
Molecule: transfer RNA, 74 nt
Filed under: Helianthus annuus (common sunflower)
Lineage: Eukaryota; Viridiplantae; Streptophyta; Magnoliopsida; Asterales; Asteraceae
Description: tRNA-Asp
Rfam family: tRNA
About the family: Transfer RNA (tRNA) molecules are approximately 80 nucleotides in length. Their secondary structure includes four short double-helical elements and three loops (D, anti-codon, and T loops).
Source: RNAcentral